RNAcentral lists this ribosomal RNA (467 nucleotides) under uncultured bacterium. RNAcentral's name for it is "partial 16S ribosomal RNA". It matches the Rfam family "Bacterial small subunit ribosomal RNA", at positions 28 to 506 of the family's 1533-position model. The record is from RNAcentral.
GACGAACGCUGGCGGCGUGCUUAACACAUGCAAGUCGAACGGAAAGGCCCUGCUUUUGUGGGGUGCUCGAGUGGCGAACGGGUGAGUAACACGUGAGUAACCUGCCCUUGACUUUGGGAUAACUUCAGGAAACUGGGGCUAAUACCGGAUAGGAGCUCCUGCUGCAUGGUGGGGGUUGGAAAGUUUCGGCGGUUGGGGAUGGACUCGCGGCUUAUCAGCUUGUUGGUGGGGUAGUGGCUUACCAAGGCUUUGACGGGUAGCCGGCCUGAGAGGGUGACCGGCCACAUUGGGACUGAGAUACGGCCCAGACUCCUGGGGGAGGCAGCGGUGGGGAAUAUUGCAAAAUGGGCGGAAGCCUGAUGCAGCAACGCCGGGUGGGGGAUGGCGGCCUUCGGGUUGUAAACCGCUUUCGCCUGUGACGAAGCGUGGGUGACGGUAAUGGGUAAAGAAGCACCGGCUAACUACGU